Molecule: ribosomal RNA, 200 nt
Filed under: uncultured bacterium
Lineage: Bacteria
Description: partial 16S ribosomal RNA
Rfam family: Bacterial small subunit ribosomal RNA
Source: RNAcentral
GAUGAACGCUAGCGGCAGGCUUAACACAUGCAAGUCGAGGGGUAUAGGCUUUCGGGCCUAGAGACCGGCGCACGGGUGCGUAACGCGUAUGCAACCUACCUUGAACAGGGGGAUAGCCCAGAGAAAUUUGGAUUAAUACCCCAUGGUAUUAUAGAAUGGCAUCAUUUUAUUAUUAAAGUCACAACGGUUCAAGAUGGGCA